Molecule: ribosomal RNA, 525 nt
Filed under: uncultured bacterium
Lineage: Bacteria
Description: partial 16S ribosomal RNA
Rfam family: Bacterial small subunit ribosomal RNA
Source: RNAcentral
UGGGGAAUUUUGGACAAUGGGCGAAGCCUGAUCCAGCAAUGCCGCGUGUGUGAAGAAGGCCUUCGGGUUGUAAAGCACUUUUGUCCGGAAAGAAAUCCUUGGCUCUAAUACAGUCGGGGGAUGACGGUACCGGAAGAAUAAGCACCGGCUAACUACGUGCCAGCAGCCGCGGUAAUACGUAGGGUGCAAGCGUUAAUCGGAAUUACUGGGCGUAAAGCGUGCGCAGGCGGUUUGCUAAGACCGAUGUGAAAUCCCCGGGCUCAACCUGGGAACUGCAUUGGUGACUGGCAGGCUAGAGUAUGGCAGAGGGGGGUUAGAAUUCCACGUGUAGCAGUGAAAUGCGUAGAGAUGUGGAGGAAUACCGAUGGCGAAGGCAGCCCCCUGGGCCAAUACUGACGCUCAUGCACGAAAGCGUGGGGAGCAAACAGGAUUAGAUACCCUGGUAGUCCACGCCCUAAACGAUGUCAACUAGUUGUUGGGGAUUCAUUCCUUAGUAACGUAGCUAACGCGUGAAGUUGACCGCCU